RNAcentral lists this ribosomal RNA (492 nucleotides) under uncultured bacterium. RNAcentral describes it as "partial 16S ribosomal RNA". It matches the Rfam family "Bacterial small subunit ribosomal RNA", at positions 29 to 507 of the family's 1533-position model. The record is from RNAcentral.
AGUGAACGCUGGCGGUAGGCCUAACACAUGCAAGUCGAACGGCAGCACAGUAAGAGCUUGCUCUUACGGGUGGCGAGUGGCGGACGGGUGAGGAAUACAUCGGAAUCUACUUUUUCGUGGGGGAUAACGUAGGGAAACUUACGCUAAUACCGCAUACGACCUACGGGUGAAAGCAGGGGAUCUUCGGACCUUGCGCGAUUGAAUGAGCCGAUGUCGGAUUAGCUAGUUGGCGGGGUAAAGGCCCACCAAGGCGACGAUCCGUAGCUGGUCUGAGAGGAUGGUCAGGCCAACUGGAACUUAGACAAGGUUCAGACUCCUACGGGAGGGAGCCGUGGGGAAUAUUGGACAAUUGGCGGAAGCCUGAUCCCGCCAUACCGGGUGGGUUAAGAAGGCCUUCGGGUUUUAAAGGCCUUUUGUUGGGAAAGAAAAGCAGCAGGUUAAUACCCCGCUGUUUUGACGGUACCCAAAGAAUAAGCACCGGCUAACUUCGUG